GACGAACGCUGGCGGCGUGCCUAACACAUGCAAGUCGAACGGAGAGGUUAUGAACAAGGCUUCGGCCAAGUGAGUAAUUUUCUUAGUGGCGGACGGGUGAGUAACGCGUGAGCAAUCUGCCUUUCAGAGGGGGAUAACGUUCUGAAAAGAACGCUAAUACCGCAUAAAGUAUUUUGAUGGCAUCAUCGAGAUACCAAAGGAGCAAUCCGCUGAAAGAUGAGCUCGCGUCUGAUUAGAUAGUUGGUGGGGUAACGGCCUACCAAGUCGACGAUCCAUAGCCGACCUGAGAGGGUGACCGGGCCACAUUGGGACUGAGACACGGCCCAAACUCCUACGGGAGGCAGCAGUGGGGAAUAUUGCACAAUGGGCGAAAGCCUGAUGCAGCGACGCCGCGUGAAUGAGAAGUAUUUCGGUAUGUAAAGUUCUAUCAGCAGGGAAGAAGAAUGACGGUACCUGACUAAGAAGCACGGCUAAAUACGUGCCAGCA
This 487-nucleotide ribosomal RNA is filed under the name uncultured bacterium. RNAcentral describes it as "bacterial SSU rRNA". It matches the Rfam family "Bacterial small subunit ribosomal RNA", at positions 28 to 513 of the family's 1533-position model. The record is from RNAcentral.